Molecule: ribosomal RNA, 490 nt
Filed under: uncultured bacterium
Lineage: Bacteria
Description: partial 16S ribosomal RNA
Rfam family: Bacterial small subunit ribosomal RNA
Source: RNAcentral
AUUGAACGCUGGCGGCAGGCCUAACACAUGCAAGUCGAACGGAAACAUGAAACAGCUUGCUGUUUCGCUGACGCGUGGCAGACGGGUGUGUAAUGUCUGGGAAACUGCUUUAUGACUGGGGAUACUUACUGGAAACGGUGGCUAAUACCGCAUAACUUCUCAAGCCCAAAGAUCGAGACUCUCAGGCCUCUUGCCAUCCGCUGUGACCAGGUGGCAUUAGGUAGUUGGUAGGGUAACGGCUCACCAAGGCGACGAUCCGUAGCUGGUCUGAGAGGGUGACCAGCCACACUGGAACUGAGACACGGUCCAGACUCCUACGGGAGGCAGCAGUGGGGAAUAUUGCACAAUGGGCGAAAGCCUGAUGCAGCAAUGCCGCGUGUAUGAAGAAGGCCUUCGGGUUGUAAAGUACUGUCAGCGGGGAGGAAGGGAGUAAAGAGAAUACCUUCGCUUAUUGACGUUACCCGCAGAAGAAGCCCCGGCUAACUCCGUG